Molecule: ribosomal RNA, 521 nt
Filed under: Nucras sp. JLC-2019a
Lineage: Eukaryota; Metazoa; Chordata; Lepidosauria; Squamata; Lacertidae
Description: partial 16S ribosomal RNA
Rfam family: Bacterial large subunit ribosomal RNA
Source: RNAcentral
AACAUAGCCUUUAGCCAUACAAGUAUUAAAGGUCCCGCCUGCCCAGUGACCCCUUAAACGGCCGCGGUAUCCUAACCGUGCAAAGGUAGCAUAAUCACUUGUCCCCUAAAUAGGGACUAGAAUGAACGGCUACAUGAGGACUAACCUGUCUCUUACAUUCAACCAAUGAAACUGAUCUUUCAGUCCAAAAGCUGAAAUAACUACAUAAGACGAAAAGACCCUGUGGAGCUUACUAGACUCAAUACAUUUCUAUGUGCCUUAAGUCUUUAGUUGGGGCGACUUCGGAGCACAAAAAAACCUCCGACACACCCACAAGAUAAACAUAUCGACACUCACCCUUGACCCAGUAGUCUCACCACUACCUGACCAACGAACCAAGUUACCCCAGGGAUAACAGCGCCAUCCUCUUCAAGAGUCCCCAUCGACAAGAGGGUUUACGACCUCGAUGUUGGAUCAGGACAUCCAAAUAGUGCACCUGCUAUUAAUGGUUCGUUUGUUCAACGAUUAAAGUCCUACGUGAU